UACGUAGGGGGCAAGCGUUGUCCGGAAUCAUUGGGCGUAAAGCGCGCGUAGGCGGCCAGCCAAGUCCGGUGUGAAAGUCAAAGGCUCAACCUGUGAAUGCCGCUGGAAACUGUCUGGCUAGAGUCCGGAAGGGGCGAGUGGAAUUCCUGGUGUAGCGGUGAAAUGCGCAGAUAUCAGGAGGAACACCUAUGGCGAAGGCAGCUCGCUGGGACGGUACUGACGCUGAGGCGCGAAAGCGUGGGGAGCGAACAGG
Molecule: ribosomal RNA, 253 nt
Filed under: uncultured bacterium
Lineage: Bacteria
Description: partial 16S ribosomal RNA
Rfam family: Bacterial small subunit ribosomal RNA
Source: RNAcentral